CCCCUAGAUGUUCUGGGCCGCACGCGUGUUACACUGAUGCGUUCAUCAAGCACCACACCUUGGCUCGAGAGGCCUGGGUAAUCUUGAAAUCGCAUCGUGCUGGGGAUAGAUUAUUGUAAUUUUUAAUCUUCAACGAGGAAUUUCUAGUAGGCGUUUGUCAUCAACAAGCACCGAUUACGUCCCUGUCCUUUGUACACACCGCCCGUCGCUACUACCGAUUGGAUCAUUUGGUGAGGCCCGCGGACUGUUGUGCUUUCUUCCUCGUGUUGAUUGCACUUCUUGGGAAGCGGUACGAACCUGAUGAUCUAGAGGAAGUAAAAGUCGUAACA
RNAcentral lists this ribosomal RNA (329 nucleotides) under uncultured eukaryote. RNAcentral describes it as "partial 18S ribosomal RNA". It matches the Rfam family "Eukaryotic small subunit ribosomal RNA", at positions 1470 to 1796 of the family's 1831-position model. The record is from RNAcentral.